UGGCCGACCGAACAGAAUCGGACCCCCCCCCCCCCCCCGGGGAUGAAUUUUUGAGACCUUGUACCAGGAAUUUGAUGGGAAAGGAGGCCCUUCCCUCCUUGUAACCUCCGGGCGUUUAUUGCGGAUCAAAUUCUUGGUUCCUUUUGUUUCACUGGGAAUUUUGUUUGGCCGGCGUUGCUCUGUUUAUCUUGGCCGGCGUGUGGCAGUUUGGCGUGGUGUUUCAGCAGCACCUGGAGAUCGAGUUCUGUAGGGAGGAGUUUUCUUGUUGGUUUGCUGGUCAGGCGCUUGGGGAAGCGCACGGCGCGCGCUGCCCUCAGGGCUGGGCGGUGGCCACCGCAGCGGCCGGCAGCAGCCCUGCUACCUUGGCCUGCGCGUGGCCCUGGGCGGUCUGCUGCUUGGAGCAGCAGCAGGCGGCCUACCGACCAGUGCCGCAGGUGGCCGCAGCGGCUUGCAGCAGCGCCGGCUGGGCAGCAGAGCCAGCAGCAGCACAAGCAAGAUCAGGGGCACAGCAAGCCAGCGACAGCAGAAGCACCACCACCGCUACGCAGACAAGGUGCUCGAUAGUUUGCACCAGCUGGUCGAGAAACAAGGGCGUUCCGCACAGGCGGCGACGUUGUAGUGCGUACCUCGUCGAUCAGCAAGGGAGAAGGCGACCGCGGCGAAGCGAAAGGGCGGCGGCGGGGGACGGUGAGGCUGACCGCGAACAAAUGGAAGCCACCGCGGCGCUGCAGUAGCGCCUCCCUUCCUCCCCCGCGGUGCUCUCCGCAGACGCCGGUACCGAGACGGGAUCCAUUCCGCCGCCCUCGCCGCGCCGCCGCGGCAUUUGUAGUCGUGCAGCGCGGCGCGGAUUGCCGCCGAAUCGGAAAACCAAGUGGCCGUGGUUUGCGGAAACUCGCAAGUACGCCUUAGGCCAAGGAAUACGGUCUCUGGCGGCUGUCCAGUGGAGGAAAAUGAAGGAAGGAAACAAAUGGUUGGGCCAACCCUGUAGGGCCUGGUUCCCGUGGGCUCCGAGUCUGGACUUCGUUUGAACCCAAUUAAGUCGAAGGGCGUCACUCUUGCAAUCAAAGCCCAGCUCCCGCUCAAAAUCUGAGAAGACUACGAUGCAGGCAAUUCUUUUCUGCUGGAAAGCUUUGAACAUGUGUUGUAGAACAUCAUCUUUUUGCAUUCUGACAUUGGUCAAUUCGAUUUGAUAGUAUGUAUUUUGAUAGUGCAUUUUCUCAUAAACUUGGUCCAAGUCAUUUUGCAACGAAGGUCGCAGUGCUAUCUGAAACAUACAUGUUGCUUUUUCUGGGUGUACUGUACUGCCUGCCAUAUACACUUGUUCCUUUCGCAGAUAUCGUGAUGCUAAGAACCAUAUCGAAAGCAA
Long non-coding RNA from Panicum virgatum (switchgrass), 1366 nucleotides. RefSeq lists it as uncharacterized. The transcript has 2 exons. The record is from RefSeq and is a predicted model, not a curated record. Lineage: Eukaryota; Viridiplantae; Streptophyta; Magnoliopsida; Poales; Poaceae.